CGGGGCUCAACCUCGAAACUGCACUUGAUACUGCCUUGCUUGAGUACUGGAGAGGAGAUUGGAAUUUACGGUGUAGCAGUGAAAUGCGUAGAUAUCGUAAGGAAGACCAGUGGCGAAGGCGAAUCUCUGGACAGUUACUGACACUGAGGCACGAAGGCCAGGGGAGCAAACGGGAUUAGAUACCCCGGUAGUCCUGGCAGUAAACGGUGCGCGUUUGGUGUGGGAGGAUUCGACCCCUUCCGUGCCGGAGCUAACGCGUUAAACGCGCCGCCUGGGGAGUACGGUCGCAAGAUUAAAACUCAAAGAAAUUGACGGGGGCCCGCACAAGCGGUGGAGUAUGUGGCUUAAUUCGAUGCCACGCGAAGAACCUUACCUAGCCUUGACAUGCAUCUCUAAGUCGGUGAAAGCCGGCGAGUGUAGCAAUACACAAUUUGCACAGGUGCUGCAUGGCUGUCGUCAGCUCGUGUCGUGAGAUGUUGGGUUAAGUCCCGGCAACGAGCGCAACCCCUGUGAACUGUUGCCACCGGCCUUCGGGCCGAGCACUCUGUUCAGACUGCCCUGUGAAACGGGGAGGAAGGUGGGGAUGACGUCAAGUCAGCAUGGCCCUUACGGCUAGGGCUGCACACGUACUACAAUGCUCAGUACAGAAUGAACCGAAACCGCGAGGUGGAGGAAAUCCCUAAAACUGAGCCCAAUUCGGAUUGGAGGCU
This 710-nucleotide ribosomal RNA is filed under the name uncultured bacterium. Its description in RNAcentral is "bacterial SSU rRNA". It matches the Rfam family "Bacterial small subunit ribosomal RNA", at positions 603 to 1306 of the family's 1533-position model. The record is from RNAcentral.